GGUGCUAACGUCCGGACUCAAAAGGGAAACAACCCAGACCGCCGGCUAAGGUCCCUAAUAUUGACUAAGUGGAAAACGAAGUGGGAAGGCUAAGACAGUCAGGAAGUUGGCUUAGAAGCAGCCAUCCUUCAAAGAAAGCGUAAUAGCUCACUGAUCGAGUCUUCCUGCGCGGAAGAUGUAACGGGGCUAAGUCAAUAACCGAAGCCGCGGAUUCGCAGCAAUGCGAGUGGUAGGGGAGCGUUCUGUAAGCCUGCGAAGGCGGAUCUGCGAGGACCGCUGGAGGUAUCAGAAGUGCGAAUGCUGACAUGAGUAACGUUAAAGCGGGUGAAAAGCCCGCUCGCCGCAAGCCCAAGGUUUCCUGCUCUACGUUCAUCGGAGCAGGGUGAGUCGGCCCCUAAGGUCAGGCUGAGAAGCGUAGCUGAUGGGAAGCUGGUUAAUAUUCCAGCACCGAUUUCAAGUGCGAAGGGGGGACGGAGUCCUGAAGGUCAUCCGGGUGUUGGAUAUCCCGGUUUACGAGCGUAGGAGGUUGACAGGCAAAUCCGUCAACGAAUCUCCAAGGCGAAGGAUCGAGGUUGAGAGAUCAACUGAAGUGACUGAAUGGGCUUCCAGGAAAAGCCUCUAAGCGUCAGCUUGGAAUUGACCGUACCGCAAACCGACACUGGUGGGCGAGCUGAAUAUGCUCAGGCGCUUGAGAGAACUCGGGAGAAGGAACUCGGCAAAUUGACACCGUAACUUCGGAAGAAGGUGUGCCGUAGUACCGUGAGAGGAGAGACACCUUGAGCGGGAAUCGGUCUCAGAGAAUAGGUGGCUGCGACUGUUUAUUAAAAACACAGCACUCUGCAAAGUCGAAAGACGACGUAUAGGGUGUGAUGCCUGCCCGGUGCUGGAAGAUUAAUUGAUGGGGUGAGAGCCCUUGAUCGAAGUCCCAGUAAACGGCGGCCGUAACUAUAACGGUCCUAAGGUAGCGAAAUUCCUUGUCGGGCAAGUUCCGACCUGCACGAAUGGCAUAAUGAUGGCCACACUGUCUCCUCCUGAGACUCAGUGAAGUUGAAAUGUUUGUGAUGAUGCAAUCUCCCCGCGGCUAGACGGAAAGACCCCAUGAACCUUUACUGCAGCUUUGCAUUGGACUUUGAACCGAUCUGUGUAGGAUAGGUGGGAGGCAGUGAAGCUAGGACGCCAGUCUUAGCGGAGCCAACCUUGAAAUACCACCCUGAUUUGUUUGAGGUUCUAACCUAGGAGCGUGAUCCGCUUCGGGGACCGUGCAUGGCAGGCAGUUUGACUGGGGCGGUCUCCUCCUAAAGGGUAACGGAGGAGUGCGAAGGU
RNAcentral lists this ribosomal RNA (1323 nucleotides) under human metagenome. RNAcentral describes it as "bacterial LSU rRNA". It matches the Rfam family "Bacterial large subunit ribosomal RNA", at positions 994 to 2317 of the family's 2925-position model. The record is from RNAcentral.